Talpa occidentalis (Iberian mole) is the source of this 809-nucleotide long non-coding RNA. RefSeq lists it as uncharacterized. Lineage: Eukaryota; Metazoa; Chordata; Mammalia; Eulipotyphla; Talpidae. The transcript is spliced from 3 exons. The record is from RefSeq and is a predicted model, not a curated record.
GAAGGCAGUUGUGGACCUUUGAAGGACUUGGAGAGGCUUCCAGCAGCCAUCCUCAGAGAACAGUUUGGAGACUUUGCAAGUUGCUGAGCGACUGAAACUGUUCCCAGCUUUGCUGCUGUUACAACCUGGAAGGGAAGGACCCAGAGCCGGGCACCUCUUAAGCUGUGUUUGCUCUUUUAUUUUUUUUUUAAAGAUUUAUUUAUUUAUGCAUACAAGAGCUGGGGGAUAGCUCUUGUAUAAGCCCAGACGUGCGGUGGGUGAGAGGAUUCACCAGAGAGAGUGGGGAGCAGAAUAGGUGGAUUGACUGAAAUACACUGCUGAGGGGAGCAGCGGGCCAGACAGGAGAGAUCUGCUACACCAUGUGGGUCAGCUCCCUGGCCUGCUGAGGAUCCAACUCGUGCUGCAGUGGCUGGUGAUAGCAUGAUAGUGCUGUGUCUUUAGCCCCUGCGCUACCAGAGAGGCCCCAGAUCCACUCUUUCGAAUGUCCAUUGUCUGGUGCUGUGCUGACUGAUCUCAGCAGCUCUGGUGAGAUCUUUGUGUCUUUUGCUGUCUUUGUGAGCUGGAUCUGGCCUAUAGUCUGGCUGCCACGUGCUCUGUGUCCUAGUGGCAGGAAGAUACCAUCUUGGGAGCCAUUGCAUUAGGACUGUAAGACCUUGGAAACUGCUUCAGGCAAGAUAUCUACUGUUGAAAACUUUUAAGCAUUUUUGGAUACUCUUUUACUUGAAAAAUGAUAGCAGAAUAACUUCAGCAGGUAAAGCUUAAAAUGAACCAAGUAUUAAAUAAUAUGUAAGAAUGAGAGAAAUGUCAGU